AAAAAGUUAAAUACUGUGGCUGGAAACAACACCCGUUUUCAUCGCUCUGGUUGUCUUGAAGCCCAUGACCCAUCUCUCUCUCUCUCUCUCUCUCUACUUUCUCUCUCAUCAACUAUUAGCUAACAGUGCAUCCCACACCUUUUAAGCUCCCCAUGCUUCAAGAUAUCCUCACUACAACCUCCACACACACACUCACAAACUCCACUGAAAAUAUCUUAUACACAAAUUCCGUUUAUAAUCCUGACCUCUAGCGUAGAAUUGUCCGGAUUUUUGCCCUUUUCCGCUUGUUUUCCGGCGGAAUUUUAGUUUCUCAUUCCAUCAAUUGUGUUGUGGGGUUGGGAGAUGAGAGAUCUGGCUCGAAAUUAGGGCGCCUGAACAAAUGGAUGCUUCUGAGGUCUUGAUCAAAGGGUAUAACGACGUCGGCGGAGGCGAUCCCGUGCCGGGGAACAGGAAUUCCGAGGCCGGGAGAGUGGAUGCUGAGAGAGCGUUGUACACAGAGCUGUGGAAGGCGUGCGCCGGCCCACUGGUGACGGUGCCGCGCGAGAAUGAGCUUGUUUUCUACUUUCCACAGGGUCACAUAGAACAGGUCGAGGCAUCGACUAAUCAGAGCUCUGACCAGCAGAUGCCAGUGUACAAUCUUCCUCCUAAGAUCCUUUGCCGAGUGGUUAAUGUUCAGUUGAAGGCUGAAGCGGAUACUGAUGAAGUGUUUGCUCAGAUUACCUUGAUGCCUGAAACUAAUCAAGAUGAAAAUGCAGAGAGGAAAGAACCACCACCUCUUCCACCACCGCACUUUCGUGUCUAUUCUUUUUGUAAAACUCUUACUGCAUCAGAUACGAGCACUCAUGGCGGGUUCUCGGUACUAAGACGGCAUGCUGAUGAAUGUUUGCCACCACUGGACAUGUCACGGCAACCUCCAACCCAGGAGUUAGUAGCCAAAGAUUUGCAUGGAAAUGAGUGGCGGUUCAGGCACAUCUUUCGUGGUCAACCACGAAGGCAUCUUCUUCAGAGUGGUUGGAGUGUCUUUGUUAGUUCAAAGAGGCUGGUUGCUGGGGAUGCCUUCAUAUUUUUGAGAGGAGAGAAUGGAGAGCUACGUGCUGGAGUGAGGCGUGCCAUGAGACAACAGGGUAAUGUUCCAUCAUCUGUCAUAUCUAGCCACAGCAUGCAUCUUGGUGUCCUUGCAACAGCUUGGCAUGCUAUUCAGACCAAUACCAUGUUCACUGUUUAUUAUAAGCCCAGGACAAGCCCAGCUGAAUUUAUCGUUCCUUACGAUCAAUACGUGGAGUCUCUUAAAAAGAAUUAUUCAAUAGGAAUGAGAUUUAAAAUGAGAUUUGAAGGUGAAGAAGCUCCAGAACAGAGGUUCACUGGAACUAUUGUUGGUACCGAGGAUGCAGAUCGAAAAAGGUGGCAAGAUUCUAAAUGGAGAUGUCUUAAGGUGCGGUGGGACGAAACGUCGGCAAUUGUUCGGCCUGAGAGAGUUUCACCCUGGAAAAUAGAACACACGCUUUCUCCUCCUGUGUUGAAUCCUGUUCCAGUGCCCAGACCGAAAAGGCCUCGUUCAAGUGUCCUACCCUCAUCAUCUGAAUCCUCCGUGCUUACUAGGGAAGGUCCUACAAAGAUGACUGCAGACCCUGCACAUGCUAAUAAUGGGUUCCCAAGGGUCUUGCAAGGUCAAGAAUCAUCGACCUUGAGAGGCCCUUUCUCUGAGAGCAAUGAGUUGGACUCCUCUGAAAAGUCAUAUUUGUGGAAGCCCUCAUUAGAGGACGAGAAGAUUGAUGUUUCUGCUUCAAGGAGAUAUGGAGCAGAUAACUGGUCACCUUUAGGGCGCCCCGAGUCAUCAUUUACAGAUCUGUUAUCAGGGUUUGGCACGAAAACUAAUGCGCCCCGUGAUUUCAGUACGCCUCUUGGCAAUCAAGCAAUGUCAAAGCGACAAACACAAGAUUGCGAUGCAAAAUUUAGCUUAAUGGGGAAUAUUUGGCCUCUGAUGCCUUCUGGUCUCUCACUUAAUCUGAUGGAUUCUAGUAUGAAGAAUCACGUGCAAGGUACAGACGCGUCUUAUCUGGCUCGUGGAGAUAGUAGACAUGGAUCCUUUGGAGACUUUUCUAUGAUUAGUGAUCCUAGAGGUGACAAUCAGGGAGCAAACUGGUCGAUGCCCCCACCCGUGUCAACAUACCUUCACAUGAGGCCUUCUCAGCCAAGAGAGCUGAUGCCUAAGCAACAUGAUGCUAUGAAGCCGAAGGAAGGGAACUGCAAGCUCUUUGGUAUUCCCCUCAUAAGUAAAUCUGCACCAUUGGAGCCAGAAAUCUCAAAUAGAAAUGUGCUAAACCCAUCUGGUUAUUCUCAAAAUUUGGUACAUUCUCAUCAAUUUUCUGCAUUUGAAUUUGAUCAAAGGUCUGAUCAAUCAAAGGGAUUGAAAGUGGGAGAUCACGGUGUCUUUGCCAGCGAGCAAGAAAAUCAAUUCCAAUCCUUCCCUACUUCAGCAACAGAUAGAGAAAACAAAGGUCAUUCUGGUUCAACAAGAAGUUGCACCAAGGUUCAAAAACAGGGGUCUGCCCUUGGUAGGUCUGUGGAUCUGACGAAAUUCAACAACUAUGAUGAAUUGAUCUCUGAAUUGGACGAUCUCUUCGAAUUUGGGGGUGAACUCAAGGCUAGGAACAAGAAUUGGCUAGUUGUUUACACUGAUGAUGAGGAUGACAUGAUGCUUGUUGGAGAUGAUCCUUGGGUGGAAUUUUGUUGCAUGGUCCGCAAGCUCUUAAUCCUUACAAAAGAGGAGAUGCUGCGUAUGAACCCAGGGACCUUAAACUCAAAAGGAGAGGACACUUCAUCAAUCGCAGAUGGUGUUGAUGCUAAUGUCCAGAGUUUUCCAUCAUCGAGCCCGGACGACUACUAGUUGUGCUCUAUCCUGGUGUGUUCAGGCAUGGUCUGACUGUAUAAUCCAUCUAACCAUUGAAUUUUGGGAACGUUGAAUGGUGAGAUGCGAAUGGAGUUCCUUCAGCAUGACGACCAGAUGCUCUUAUAUAUAGAUACACCUAAGAAUUUGCAAUUUUGGAUCCCUUUUUACAUAAUGUGCUUGACAUUAUAUAAGAUUGGUAUGUGUCACCGGAUUAUUCAACCUCUGUAAAUAGGCACCAGCCGCAAAAUCCCCAGCAUGGAUGUAAUGCAGAAGAAUAGGACGGGUUUGUUCCUGCAGAAUUCAUGGUUUAAUUUGUAGGAGUAUAUAGUGUGUUACCGGCAUUAGUAUAAAUGGGGUUGGUCUGCUGUCAUCUGUGAGGUACAUAUUAUAUCUGCGCUCAUGUACAGGUGCAGAGAAGCUACAAGCCAAUGGAGGAUGUCGAAAUAAUCUGAUGCUUGGCAUGGCUUCGCGUACGCAGAUGCUACUUUCAGAUGCCAGAAAUCACUAAUCUGGAUAUCUUGUUGUGCGUAUAAGUAAAUACUAAUUCAUGGAUUAAAUUGCAUUAUGAUAUAAUUAUAAGAAUUGCAUUAUGAUAUUGAUAUAUAUAAAACUCAGUUGCUCAUUCUAAGAAAGCAUAUUUGAGGAAACUUUUUUUAAUUA
This is an RNA transcript of Salvia miltiorrhiza (redroot sage), 3550 nucleotides long. It is a transcript of the gene named auxin response factor 2B-like, with no coding region annotated. The record is from RefSeq and is a predicted model, not a curated record. Lineage: Eukaryota; Viridiplantae; Streptophyta; Magnoliopsida; Lamiales; Lamiaceae. The transcript is spliced from 16 exons.